RNAcentral lists this ribosomal RNA (446 nucleotides) under uncultured bacterium. RNAcentral describes it as "bacterial SSU rRNA". It matches the Rfam family "Bacterial small subunit ribosomal RNA", at positions 329 to 792 of the family's 1533-position model. The record is from RNAcentral.
UGCCAGACUCCUACGGGAGGCAGCAGUGGGGAAUAUUGCACAAUGGGGGAAACCCUGAUGCAGCGACGCCGCGUGAGCGAUGAAGUAUUUCGGUAUGUAAAGCUCCAUCAGCAGGGAAGAAGAUGACGGUACCUGACUAAGAAGCCCCGGCUAACUACGUGCCAGCAGCCGCGGUAAUACGUAGGGGGCAAGCGUUAUCCGGAUUUACUGGGUGUAAAGGGAGCGUAGACGGCGAUGCAAGCCAGAUGUGAAAGCCCGGGGCUCAACCCCGGGACUGCAUUUGGAACUGUGUGGCUGGAGUGUCGGAGAGGCAGGCGGAAUUCCUAGUGUAGCGGUGAAAUGCGUAGAUAUUAGGAGGAACACCAGUGGCGAAGGCGGCCUGCUGGACGAUGACUGACGUUGAGGCUCGAAAGCGUGGGGAGCAAACAGGAUUAGAUACCCCAGUA